AGAGACACUGAGGUUGUGGUUUCUGUGAUCCCUACACAAACCAAAGGAACAUCAUUUAUCAUUCAUCACAGUGAACUGUGUACACUUCGGCCACACCAGUGGCUAAAUGGCGAGAUAAUUGAAGCCCUGUUUCAUAUUGCUGCCAGUGAGCUAGAGAUCGGGAAUUCCAUUUACAUUCUUAAUCACUACAUAGCAGGUGUGAUUCUGUUUGGGGAAAAACCUCAGCUUGCCCGGCAAAAAUUGUCAAAGAUUAACUUGAACAAUUACCAGGGAAUUGUUUCUUUUGUGAACAUUGACAAUGUCCAUUGGAAGUUUCUGUUCAUAAAUGCGGUCAACCACACAGUGUACCUGGUAGACCCAGCAAAAAGUUCCACAGAGAAAGAUGACUCAAUUCAUGCUGCC
Molecule: long non-coding RNA, 402 nt
Organism: Carassius carassius (crucian carp)
Lineage: Eukaryota; Metazoa; Chordata; Actinopteri; Cypriniformes; Cyprinidae
Exons: 4
Source: RefSeq, a predicted model, not a curated record